UACUACGGCCAUGCCACCCUGAAUGUGCCUGAUCUCGUCUGAUCUCAGAAGCUAAGCAGGGUUGGGCCUGGUUAUUACUUGGAUGGGAGACCACCUAGGAAGAAGACCAGGUGCUGUAGGUG
Molecule: ribosomal RNA, 122 nt
Filed under: Pteropus alecto (black flying fox)
Lineage: Eukaryota; Metazoa; Chordata; Mammalia; Chiroptera; Pteropodidae
Source: RNAcentral